UAAAGCUGGGAGUUGAACCCAAUGGAUUCUGGGAAUAUGGUGGCUGUUGCCCUGGCAACAGGUCUGUGGACCCGCCCAUGUAUCAUCACAGGUUCUAGAUGCUAACAGUUAGCCUGCCUGAGUCCCUAGUCCCACUCUCAGUACUGCAAAACAAACUCAAGGACACUUCAAAGCAUAGUAAGGUCGAGUCCAUUCAUGGCCAUCUGAGUUGGUAACAGACCAUCGUGAUGGUGUCUUGGAUUCAACUUAGACACAAAUCAGGCUCAGCGGAAGUGAAGAUGUUCUGAAGAGACACCCUCAUCUCUCAAUCUGGCCAUCAGACUACUGGAAUGGGGGAUCCCAAAGAAAUGAGAGUCUCGUGCUCGGAGAAGGAAGAGGUCCCAGGCCGAGGAGGAAGUUGUCUCCCUGAGGGACACUUCACACCACUCUAACAGCUUGACCGACAAUCUUCUAGGAUGAGAAUGAAGCCCAGACAAUGAUGAGCCUGUGUGGAUGGGACCACACGUUGACCAUGGCUGCUUAAGUGUGUAUACUCCUGGCCAUCUAUUUAAGCUUGAAUCUCAUUUUAGGACCCUAAAGGCUGGCUGUGUGUGUGUGUGUGUGUGUGUGUGUGUGUAUGUGUGUAUCCCUGUGGAUCUCUGACCUGCUUCCCAAUGUAAUCACAUUGAAUAAGGCCCUUCCCCUUUCUACCUCCCA
Mastomys coucha (southern multimammate mouse) is the source of this 696-nucleotide long non-coding RNA. RefSeq lists it as uncharacterized. NCBI's taxonomy places the organism in Eukaryota, Metazoa, Chordata, Mammalia, Rodentia, Muridae. The transcript has 2 exons. The record is from RefSeq and is a predicted model, not a curated record.